RNAcentral lists this ribosomal RNA (481 nucleotides) under uncultured bacterium. RNAcentral's name for it is "bacterial SSU rRNA". It matches the Rfam family "Bacterial small subunit ribosomal RNA", at positions 28 to 526 of the family's 1533-position model. The record is from RNAcentral.
AAUGAACGUUGGCGGCGUGGAUUAGGCAUGCAAGUCGAGCGCUCACCCGCAAGGGUGGGAGCGGCGAAAGGGAGAGUAACGCGUGGGUAUCUGCCCUCGGGACUGGGAUAGCUGCGGGAAACUGCAGGUAAUACCAGAUGACGUCCCCGGACCAAAGGUGUGAUUCCGCCUGAGGAUGAGCCCGCGUCCUAUUAGCUAGUUGGUAGGGUAAUGGCCUACCAAGGCAAUGAUGGGUACUGGGUGUGAGAGCACGACCCAGCUCACUGGGACUGAGACACUGCCCAGACACCUACGGGUGGCUGCAGUCGAGAAUCUUCGGCAAUGGGCGAAAGCCUGACCGAGCGACGCCGCGUGUGGGAUGAAGGCCUUCGGGUUGUAAACCGCUGUCAGAGGGGAGGAAUGGGCGGAGGGUAAUCUCUUCGUUUUGACCUAUCCUCAGAGGAAGUACGGGCUAAGUUCGUGCCAGCCGCCGCGGUAACAC